GAUGAACGCUGGCGGCGUGCCUAAUACAUGCAAGUCGAGCGAACAGAUGAGGAGCUUGCUCCUCUGACGUUAGCGGCGGACGGGUGAGUAACACGUGGAUAACCUACCUAUAAGACUGGGAUAACUUCGGGAAACCGGAGCUAAUACCGGAUAAUAUAUUGAACCGCAUGGUUCAAUAGUGGAAGACGGUUUUGCUGUCACUUAUAGAUGGAUCCGCGCCGCAUUAGCUAGUUGGUAAGGUAACGGCUUACCAAGGCAACGAUGCGUAGCCGACCUGAGAGGGGGAUCGGCCACACUGGAACUGAGACACGGUCCAGACUCCUACGGGAGGCAGCAGUAGGGAAUCUUCCGCAAUGGGCGAAAGCCUGACGGAGCAACGCCGCGUGAGUGAUGAAGGUCUUCGGAUCGUAAAACUCUGUUAUUAGGGAAGAACAAAUGUGUAAGUAACUAUGCACGUCUUGACGGUACCUAAUCAGAAAGCCACGGCUAACUACAUG
RNAcentral lists this ribosomal RNA (497 nucleotides) under uncultured bacterium. Its description in RNAcentral is "partial 16S ribosomal RNA". It matches the Rfam family "Bacterial small subunit ribosomal RNA", at positions 28 to 507 of the family's 1533-position model. The record is from RNAcentral.